CUUGCUAGGAACCAGGAAGUAGAACCAGCACCAACACCUCACACCCUAAUAUAAGAUGAGGUUGAAUGGGAGAAGGCUGUUGCCUUUUGUAGAAAUACACUACUCAUGCAGAACUACUUAUCCCCCAGAACAAGGUCAGGGUGGGUCUGGGCUGCUUCUCAUCCUCAAAGCUGAGUGAGGGAGCUGACAGGAGGACUGCUCACAGGUGUGAGUCUCUGCGGUUGCUGGCCCCUGUCUGGACAGUUACAGGCUCUUUGUCCAGCCCCUGUGCUACCAGGAUCAAGGAAAAGUACAUUGGGAAGAGAUGCUAUGGUGGGGGACUGCUGGGUGAAGCGGGGUCGAGACUGUCCCCCUUCAAAGACCGAGAAGUUUGGAAGAUGAAUCCUAUGAUACGCCUGAAGACACAGGAGUUGGCUGUGGUUGACGUCAUGAUUCUGACCACAUCAAUUGCUGACAUCAAAAUUCAGUGACCUCUGUUGCUUGCUGUGAGAACCAUCCUAACCCAGAAUUUUCAGCUACAAGUGGUGUAAUUCAGAAGUUGCUUACUGAACUGAAUUAAGGGUUUGUAUUAGGGAUAAAUACUGUGGGAGUAACUCUGGUAUACUGGGUUGGUGGUUUUGUGCAGGAAGCUUAGAAUUCCACAGCUCUUAUAAUGAUUGUAUACUCUUCUGGCUUGUUUCCCAGAUUUUCUUGAAAAGGGUCAGAAGACAGGAUGAAAUUAAUGACAUAUGAAUGCUAACACCCAAUUAGAGGUAUCUUCAAAGGAAUAAUUAGGCUAGACUUAAUAAGAGGGGAUUCUGAGAAGAAAAAGCUUUAGGCAAAUUAUACUCUGAAAGAAAAGAAGAUGUGAAAUAAGGCAACUCUAGGAGAUUGGAGUUGAUUAAAACUUCAGGAAGUGAUUUUAUCUACUUACCUUAAAAGUAAUAUAAACAUAGUGAGACAAAUGAAUGGAGAGGGGUGGUCACUGAGUCCAGACUAGGAGCAGGGGUCUGAGCACUGGUACCCUUCCUCCAGCACAUAUCCGGGGACUGUAAUUUUAGGACCCCUAUUCUCUUUAUGAUGGAGAAGGAAACGGCAACCCACUCCAGUAUUCUUGCCUGGAGAAUCCCAUGGACAGAGGAGGCUAGUGGGCUACAGUCCAUAGGGUCGCUAAGAGUGGGACACGACUGAAGCAAUUUAGCAUCCUGGUGGCUCAGACGGUAAAGUGUCUGCCUGCAAUGCGGGAGACCUGGCUUUGAUCCCUGGGUCUGAUCCCUGGGUCGGGAAGAUCCCCUGGAGAAGGAAAUGGCCACCCACUCCAGUACUCUUGCCUAGAAAAUUCCAUGGAUGGAGGAGCGUGGUGGUCUACAGUCCAUGGGGUCGUAAAGACUGAGUGACUUCGCUUUCUUUUCUUUCUUUCUUAUGAAGGAGGACGAGGUUUUUGCUUUUCAAAAUAACAACAGCAGCAGCAACAGCGGCAGCAAACACUUA
Molecule: long non-coding RNA, 1470 nt
Organism: Bos indicus x Bos taurus (hybrid cattle)
Lineage: Eukaryota; Metazoa; Chordata; Mammalia; Artiodactyla; Bovidae
Source: Ensembl